CGGGCCUACGGGGGCAGCAGUGAGGAAUAUUGGUCAAUGGCCGAGAGGCUGAACCAGCCAAGUCGCGUGAGGGAAGAAUGUCCUAUGGAUUGUAAACCUCUUUUGUCAGGGAGCAAAGUCACCCACGUGUGGGUGUUGGAGAGUACCUGAAGAAAAAGCAUCGGCUAACUCCGUGCCAGCAGCCGCGGUAAUACGGAGGAUGCGAGCGUUAUCCGGAUUUAUUGGGUUUAAAGGGUGCGUAGGCGGGUUAUCAAGUCAGCGGUAAAAUCGUGGAGCUCAACCCCGGCGAGCCGUUGAAACUGUCG
This 305-nucleotide ribosomal RNA is filed under the name uncultured bacterium. RNAcentral describes it as "bacterial SSU rRNA". It matches the Rfam family "Bacterial small subunit ribosomal RNA", at positions 332 to 638 of the family's 1533-position model. The record is from RNAcentral.